RNAcentral lists this long non-coding RNA (2127 nucleotides) under Zostera marina. Its description in RNAcentral is "long non-coding RNA (ZMAR_LNC002572)". Lineage: Eukaryota; Viridiplantae; Streptophyta; Magnoliopsida; Alismatales; Zosteraceae. The record is from RNAcentral.
GACACAUUGAGUAUCAUUAUUUCACUCUGUAAUAGCAAUGACUCCAUGCUGGUAAACUAACUCCAACCCAUACUCUUCUAGAAGUGAUCGUGUCAUGGUCCGAGUGAAGCAGCAAAAGCGAAGGACGGGGGGGAGUAACUGUUGCGGCUUUAUUUGGCCGGGUUAAAUAUUAUACCCGGACUAAACAAAACCCAACAAAUAUGCAUUCCUGAAACCAGGCUACAUGGCAGUAUCCUCUCUACGUCGACACCUGUCCAGACUACGUGUUAAAGAAUUACAUGCAAAAUUGUACUAUAAGAAGGGAGCAAGAUUAACGGACAAGGGGGGGAGAAAUAUUGAAACACCUAUCGACAGGCGUAUUCCAUGGCACUAGUUUUAGUUUUUUCAAAAUCGGUUCACAACGGCGGAGAUACUAUGAUGAUGUUGUAUAUGAUGGGCUUUUCUCUCUCCAUCUUGUCCAUGGCGAUCUUCGUGUGUGGAAAAUUCAAGAAAAAAAUGAAACAUGGUAGCCAUGGUGCUGGUUAUUAUGGCGAUGGUGGUGAUGGAGGAGGUGGCGACGGAGGUGGUGGUGGUGGCAAUGGAGGAGGUGGUGGUGGCAACUGAGGAGGCUAUAGGAGAGGGUCGUUAAUGCUUAACUAUAGUAUAAUUAAUUAUAUAGGAACCGCUUUUGGUGUGGUUGGGUGCGCCGGCGAGAACUUCACUACCAAGGCGCUCCUCUGGACGUCGCCACACCUCCGAACAGUCACUAGGCGGUCGCGAACAUCGCCAUCCGACGGUCCGCCGCACCUGAAACCCAGUGUAAUUAUAUAUAAAAUAAGAAUUGUUAUUUUCUAUUUUGUGAAUGAUUGGUUUGAGAUAAGAUUGAUCAAUAUAUACGCAAAUACACUACAAGAAAAUAAACUUUUAACGACGGAUUUUGGCAUUCAUGUCUAAAUUUUCACAUAUCUCUUGAAAUCAUUCUUUCGAAAACCCACAAAAAUCAUAAAUUCCCAAUCCUGUUUGUCUAAUUUUUGUUUAUAUGGUCUUAACAUUAUAUUUUUUAUUUAAAUAUUUUUUUUCGGGUUGGUAGAUCUCUUAUGAUUCACACUAAUUCACAUUGACAAGCCUAAAUCAGACCGAAUCCGCCUGGAUCCUAUCCAAAUUCACACUAAGGGUGGCACAUUACCUUGCAUCUGCGCAAAAGCACGCACUGCAUAUGCGCAUCCGAAACUUUGAUUAUAUGUAAUUAGUUAUAGACAUGAACAUGCAAUUAGUUAUAGACCUGAACAUGCAAUUAGUUGUGGACCUGAACAUGCAAAUAGUUAUAUACUUGAACAUAUAAUUAAUUGUACACAUGAUUAUGUAAUUAGUUAUAACCUGAACAUAUCUUAGUUAUACAUCUGGACAUGGGAUGGAUUCUUGACAAAAAAGAAAAUUGUCGGAAAAUAUAACGGUCGGAGAAGAAAAUAUCAAAAAAUAAAAUGUCAGAUACAACCGAGAUUCAGAAACUUCGACGAUGCAAAAAGAGAAAAGACAAACACAAAGAGAAAACGUGAAAACUCGAUCAAAGAAGAUUAAGAUUCGAUCGACGAGAAAGUAAACUGGAAGUUGAGAGUGAUAAGUGUGAAAUGAUGAAAGAGUGAGAAGAUGUGGUUAAAUAUUGGUUAUUAAGACUGAAGAUUCAGAAUUUCCUUUCAAUCGACUGGUAAAUCUCCUGUAUUAAUUCAGAUGAUCGAUCGGUUGCCCACCGACCAACCAGAUGAUCGAUCAAUCUGAGCUCAAACUAGCUAGACAUUUAUCCAAUCAUAUACAAAAUAGAAAAUAACAAGUCUAAUUUUAUUUAUAUAAUUAUACUAUAGUUAAGAAUUAACUACCACCACCACCGUUGCCACCACCACCUCCUCCGUCACAACCACCACCAUCGCCACCAAAGAAGUCACCAAAACAACCAUAAUGGACGCCAGGACUACUAACGUGACGAUCAUGUUUCUUUUUUUUCUUGGACUUCCCGCACACGAAGAUCGCCAUGGACAAGAUGGAGAGGGAGAAACCCACCAUAUACAACAUCAUCAUGGUAUCUCUGUCGCUGUGAAUCGAAUUUGAGAAAACUCGCGCCAUGGAAUAUGACCAAUCGGGUUUCCUCUAAAG